CACACACACACACACACACACACCCCGGCGUGUCUGUCUCGAAACCCCUCGCGCGACCCCACACCCAGCUGGAAUUCGGCAAAAGCCGGAAACAGUGUCUCAGGAACCAUAGUAGGUUCUGGGGACUAAAGAUGCGUCGGACAGGAUCCUUGGACUGAAGAAACUGCCGUCUUGUGAAAGAAACACCCCUUCACUGCGUGUGCAGGCAUCCGUGGUGGACUCUGCAUCACCCCAUGGGACUCAGAGGGCGUGGGAACCUGGACAAACAUCAGAGUGACACUCUGCCUGCUGCUUUUGCCACAGGCUGGGAGGCGAGACCAUGUGAAGACACAGGGAACGUGGAAGGCCAUCUACAAGCCAAGGAGACGGGCCUCAGAAGAAACCAACCCCCUGAUGCCUCGAUCUCCAACUUGCAGCCUCCAGAACUGUGAGAAAAUAAAUUUCUCUUGUGUAAGCCACCCAGCCUGUGCUCCUUGUUCUGGCAGCCCCAGCAAACUAAUACAAAUACUGAUAAAAACGAAGCCAAACAUUUAAAAGUAAUAAUAAAUAACUUAGUUGAAAGUUUAUUUUUUUUUUCUUGAAGAUUUUACUUUUUCCUUUUUCUCCCAAAGCCCCCAGUACACAGUUGUGUAUUUUUAGUUGUGGGUCCUUCUAGUUGUGGCAGGUGGGACACCGCCUCAGCAUGGCUUGAUGAGCAGUGCCAAUGUCCACGCCCAGGAUCCGAACUGGUGAAACUCUGGGCCAUGGAAGCAGAGCGC
Molecule: long non-coding RNA, 758 nt
Filed under: Equus asinus (donkey)
Lineage: Eukaryota; Metazoa; Chordata; Mammalia; Perissodactyla; Equidae
Description: lncRNA (ENSEASG00005030512.1)
Source: RNAcentral